This 468-nucleotide ribosomal RNA is filed under the name uncultured bacterium. Its description in RNAcentral is "partial 16S ribosomal RNA". It matches the Rfam family "Bacterial small subunit ribosomal RNA", at positions 28 to 507 of the family's 1533-position model. The record is from RNAcentral.
GACGAACGCUGGCGGCGUGCUUAACACAUGCAAGUCGAACGGAAAGGCCCUGCUUUUGUGGGGUGCUCGAGUGGCGAACGGGUGAGUAACACGUGAGUAACCUGCCCUUGACUUUGGGAUAACUUCAGGAAACUGGGGCUAAUACCGGAUAGGAGCUCCUGCUGCAUGAUGGGGGUUGGAAAGUUUCGGCGGUUUGGGAUGGACUCGCGGCUUAUCAGCUUGUUGGUGGGGUAGUGGCUUACCAAGGCUUUGACGGGUAGCCGGCCUGAGAGGGUGACCGGCCACAUUGGGACUGAGAUACGGCCCAGACUCCUACGGGAGGCAGCAGUGGGGAAUAUUGCACAAUGGGCGGAAGCCUGAUGCAGCAACGCCGCGUGCGGGAUGACGGCCUUCGGGUUGUAAACCGCUUUCGCCUGUGACGAAGCGUGAGUGACGGUAAUGGGUAAAGAAGCACCGGCUAACUACGUG